This 19-nucleotide small nuclear RNA is filed under the name Arabidopsis thaliana (thale cress). Its description in RNAcentral is "snRNA_03763". Lineage: Eukaryota; Viridiplantae; Streptophyta; Magnoliopsida; Brassicales; Brassicaceae. The record is from RNAcentral.
UCAGUGGUAUCAGUCACCA